Sinocyclocheilus anshuiensis is the source of this 90-nucleotide long non-coding RNA. RefSeq lists it as uncharacterized. The transcript has 3 exons. Lineage: Eukaryota; Metazoa; Chordata; Actinopteri; Cypriniformes; Cyprinidae. The record is from RefSeq and is a predicted model, not a curated record.
ACGACACACAAAUUUAAGAUUCAAGGACUCUGUGAAUUAACCCAGUGAACUGCAUGACAUGGCUGAUCAUGUGGUGUAAAGAUGUCGGCA